This 89-nucleotide non-coding RNA is filed under the name Acidiphilium sp. Its description in RNAcentral is "c-di-GMP sequence". It matches the Rfam family "c-di-GMP-I riboswitch aptamer". From Rfam's summary of the family: GEMM was predicted in a large-scale screen for bacterial structured RNA regulatory elements. The record is from RNAcentral. Lineage: Bacteria; Pseudomonadati; Pseudomonadota; Alphaproteobacteria; Acetobacterales; Acidocellaceae.
AACGAAUAUCGGCAAACCCGUUGCGAGGCGGGGACGCAAAGCCAAGGAACUUUUAUUUAUAUUAAAGAAGAGUGCGCCCGGUUGCAAUU